Long non-coding RNA from Solanum stenotomum, 818 nucleotides. RefSeq lists it as uncharacterized. The record is from RefSeq and is a predicted model, not a curated record. The transcript has 2 exons. NCBI's taxonomy places the organism in Eukaryota, Viridiplantae, Streptophyta, Magnoliopsida, Solanales, Solanaceae.
GAUAUGAAACUGUUCUCUGCAAUUUGCUUGCUAACUAAGCAUCAGGGAGAAUUGAGAGUCAGGAUCUAAAAUGAGGAAGAACGGAGGAGAACGGGAAUGUGUUCAUUUCAAUAUCUAUAAACAACGGUGAGUGACAAUUGCUCAGUUUAUUUGAUCAAAUUGAUAAAUACAGAGACUCUCCCCUACAAAUUGCUUGCUUCCAUGCAUCUCAAAAAGGAACAACGGGAUGGGAGAAUCCGGAAUCAGGAUCUAGAAUGAGGAAUAACGGAGGGAGAAUGGAAAGGUGUUCAUUUCAAUAUCUAUAAAUGGCGACAAUUGCUCGGACUAUUUGAUUGAGUUGAUAGAUACGGAACUACCUGCAAAUUAUGCAUCAAAAAAAGGAAGAGCGGAAUGGGAUAAUCCAGAGUCAGGAUUCAGAAUGAAGAAGAACGAAGUCCUGUGAAUUGCUUCUCCUGGUCCUCUAAUAUAAUUGACAAGGAAAAUCAUCCAGUUUUUCAAGACCGUUGUUUCUCACACACUGAGCAUGAUCUGCAUGGUAUCAAGUAUUAAUCAGUAUAGAAGAGCUCAAAAACUUCACGGGAUUAUACUGGAAAGAUUACAAAAUAUUGUUGGAACAUAUGAGAAAGAUCAAAUAGGUACUCACAUUUAUGGUUACACUGACAACAAAUGAGAAGGGUGUUAUCUGUAAAUUGUUUUCUGUUUUUAUCAAAUCUGCUCUCACCACACACUUUACAACAGCAUGAUGGGCAAAACCAGUCACCAUCUGGAACCUCCUGUUUAAACAAAUGCAAAAUAAAGCAAUUGGCUUUUUGAUUGAA